GCGGGGGUGCCCGAGCUAGGACAAAGGGGGCGGACUUAGGCUCCGCUGGCGAAGGCCUGCCCGGGUUCGAAUCCCGGCCCCCGCACCA
RNAcentral lists this transfer RNA (88 nucleotides) under Thermofilum pendens. Its description in RNAcentral is "tRNA-Leu". It matches the Rfam family "tRNA". From Rfam's summary of the family: Transfer RNA (tRNA) molecules are approximately 80 nucleotides in length. The record is from RNAcentral. RNAcentral also lists the same sequence under 1 other name. Lineage: Archaea; Thermoproteati; Thermoproteota; Thermoprotei; Thermofilales; Thermofilaceae.